This 1072-nucleotide long non-coding RNA is filed under the name Homo sapiens (human). Its description in RNAcentral is "HSALNT0242167". The record is from RNAcentral. Lineage: Eukaryota; Metazoa; Chordata; Mammalia; Primates; Hominidae.
GAAAAAAAGUGGGUCUCCGGAGACCAGGGGGAAGCCCUUCUAGUUUCUCUUGAUGGGAAGAGCCCUUUCCUCAUCUGCCGCCUCCCAACCUCAAAGGCUGUUCCCAGACUGGUUCCCUGCAGGCAGAGGAGCAUCUCUCCCAUCAGAUCUGGAUUUGGUUCUUCCUCUAGCUGAACUCCCAGCCAUCCACUUGGUAUUUACUCACAAGGCACCUGAGGGUUGACACGGAAGACAGCCACACCAGGCAAAACUCCAGACACAAAUGCAUCUCAAUGGGCGUCUGGCAGGGAGGCUCCAACUGCUCUGAGGUUCUGAGGUUCCGCUGAGCUCACCUGGCCAAGUGUGUCAAAACUCCCACCAGCAUCACCCCAGCACCACCUAGAAGCACUCUGAGCCCCACUCUGAAGAUAAUUCUGGGAAUGAAAAAGAAGUCGAAACCUGCCCAAGUCCUCCGAGAGGGUCUCGGGUCCUUCCCCAGUCCCUUGCAUUGCUGGAAACCCUUUCCCCUAGAACAGAGCUACACUAACUGCCAGGAGGCCAGGCCUGUUGGCAGAAACAGAGAUGACCCCCUCUCCCACCUUCCGCUUUGCCACUCCAGUGACUAUUUGCUGACUGUCUCUUUCUUGCUGCUAAUCGCUCGGCCCCGUCUAAUUGGUAAUUAGCCUUGCGAGCCCAGCCUGUGCUUGGCUAAUUGCUGUUUGUCUCACCCUCAUCUCCGGCAGCAGAGUGGUGCCAACACAGCCGCCUGGGCUCUAUCCGGGCUGCUGGCAUCCGUGCCAGGUUCUGUAGAGGUUUCUGCAGCCCCACCCUGUUCUCUUCCAGGGAUUUUGUGGGGUACAGCCUCCUUCAGCAGUAAUGUCAGCCCUGAGGGUGGUCCCUGACAGUCCUUCUGGGUGGUUGCAGACUGGGGCCCCUGCUUUCAUGCAUAGUCCAUGCCCAGUUAUAGAAAAAGACGGCCAUGAGUGAGCUACAGUCCCUACUGAGGAGUGGAGUCUGGGGGGACUCUAGGGAGGAGGUGUCUGCACCGGAACUUAAGGAUGUCUAGGAUUUAACCAUCAGAGAAAGGAGAAAG